Choloepus didactylus (southern two-toed sloth) is the source of this 908-nucleotide long non-coding RNA. RefSeq lists it as uncharacterized. The record is from RefSeq and is a predicted model, not a curated record. NCBI's taxonomy places the organism in Eukaryota, Metazoa, Chordata, Mammalia, Pilosa, Megalonychidae. The transcript is spliced from 3 exons.
CUUAGCUGCACUCGUGACCUGAGCAACCUCACACCCUGGUUCUUUGGGAAGAUGGUUCCCGGCCAGCCUGAAGCAGGUGUCAGGGCCCCAGCCCCCUGCCCUGCUGCUUCUCUCCUCGCUGCCUGCCUGAAACUUGGAGUCCUGCUUUUCUUUCCCGACUGCUGGAAUUCUCCAGUUCUCCAGAUCUUAACUUCCUCUUCUCCCGCGUACCCCUUCAGCUUCUCCCUCCUGCUGUGGCGGGGUGACAGCAGCCACCUGCUGUUGUUACAUCCGCCUGAAAGAGAAGCUGGUCUCCUCCAGGCCGCCUCCAGAGACAGGGAGCCUUUGCAUCCAUCGGACAGUCACUGUGUGCUCCCACCUUUGUGACGAGUGGAACGAGGUGGACUCUCCUCUGGCUGUGACAUUCUGGCCUUUAAAAGGCAGAGAGGUUUCAAAGCAGGUUUGGAAUGUGCAAGCAACUGUUUGCAAGGUACUCGCAAGAUGGCAUUGGCAGCCACCCCCAUGCGCCGACCCAGGCUGCCACGGUUGAACCAGAGAACAGCCUCCCCGCCAAGCCCUUGUCAACAGGCAUGAUAUUUUGUGUUUGGGGAGAAGACAUGGCUGUCAGCAAGCACCCACCCAGAGCCAGGCCUUCCCUCACCUGCAGCCAAGCCCCUUGCUGGGGAGUGACGCAGAGUCUGGGUGGAGUGAAGGGCUGCUGGGGGCACACCGGCUGCACAGUCCCCAGGCCCGAGCUGGAAUCCCAGACUGACCUCUCUCUAGCUGUGUGGCCUUAGGCCAGUCACUGGGACCCCCGGAACCUCAGGGUUGCACUUGAAGCCAGACCAGUCACCCCUUUCUGGCCAACUGUAAGGAGCAUGAAAUAAAAGUGAUGACAGCAGUCCUGGCACUGAGUCUGGCUGGCUGAC